AACGAACGCUGGCGGCAUGCCUAACACAUGCAAGUCGAACGAGACCUUCGGGUCUAGUGGCGCACGGGUGCGUAACGCGUGGGAACCUGCCCUUAGGUUCGGAAUAACUCCCCGAAAGGGGUGCUAAUACCGGAUAAUGUCUUCGGACCAAAGAUUUAUUGCCUUUGGAUGGGCCCGCGUUGGAUUAGCUAGUUGGUAGGGUAAAAGCCUACCAAGGGGACGAUCCAUAGCUGGUGUGGUAGGAUGAUCAGCCACACUGGGACUGCGACACGGCCCAGACUCCUACGGGAGGCAGCAGUGGGGAAUAUUGGACAAUGGGCGAAAGCCUGAUACAGCAAUGCCGCGUGAGUGAUGAAGGCCUUAGGGUUGUAAAGCUCUUUUAGCCGGGAUGAUAAUGACAGUACCGGGAGAAUAAGCUCCGGCUAACUCCGUG
RNAcentral lists this ribosomal RNA (433 nucleotides) under uncultured bacterium. RNAcentral describes it as "partial 16S ribosomal RNA". It matches the Rfam family "Bacterial small subunit ribosomal RNA", at positions 29 to 507 of the family's 1533-position model. The record is from RNAcentral.